Molecule: long non-coding RNA, 602 nt
Organism: Dermochelys coriacea (leatherback sea turtle)
Lineage: Eukaryota; Metazoa; Chordata; Testudines; Dermochelyidae
Exons: 3
Source: RefSeq, a predicted model, not a curated record
CUCCCCCCCCCCCGCCGAAUUCCCAACUCUAAGGCGUAGGCUUUCCCACUUCUCCCCCAGUUUCCUCCCAUCACCCGCCCCUGGAGGUGGGGGAAGGAGCCGGGGCGGAGCAAACAAGUUCUCAAGAGAACUGACGACUCUGUCCGUGUGUCGGAUUGGACAGUGAAUCUCCGUGGAGGCCCUGGCCCUGCAGCGUGACGCCUGACACUGAACAAUGGGAGACCCAGGAAAAACCCUGACAGCAUAGCCUCACCUCGUCAGGCUGCAACUGUGCCCAAAGCCACCCCAGCAGCACCCUGUUCCUCUUCCUUCUCCACCCAGGCCAAGACAACACCCACAGCCAGCCGACCGAAGAGUGCUCAGGCUGCUGGGAGUUCAGGCACCAGCAGGGCACAGACAGACAAGCCAACCAGCAGCACCACUGCAAGAAGAGCUGGGCAAAGCCCUUCCCAAUCAAGGGCCACUGCAGCACAUGGCAGUGAUCGAGGAGACACCAAGAUAAGCUACGAGGUGUCAGCUAAGAACCCCUCAGUGACUAGUGGAAGGAAACCCUGCUCCACAACAGCUAAAGCACCUGUCGUGUCGACCCCUGCCUGAAAGGA